CCCUUAGACGCUCUAGGCGGCACGCGCGCUACAAUGGGUGGUAGAACGUGUAACUGCUCCCGAAAGGGAGGGUGAACCACGAAUACUUACCCGUGAAUGGGAUAGUUUGUUGCAAUUUUCGGACUUGAACUAGGAAUCCCUUGUAAGAAUGCUCAAGAAUAGCGUGCUGAAUACGUCCCUGCCGUUUGUACACACCGCCCGUCGUUUCUUCCGACUGAUACUCAUUGUGAGUUGCAAGGAUUCUUAUUGAAAAAUUGCUGCGAAUGCUUUGUAUUGGGGGAAGAAAAAGUCGUAACA
This 297-nucleotide ribosomal RNA is filed under the name uncultured eukaryote. RNAcentral describes it as "partial 18S ribosomal RNA". It matches the Rfam family "Eukaryotic small subunit ribosomal RNA", at positions 1470 to 1796 of the family's 1831-position model. The record is from RNAcentral.